Molecule: ribosomal RNA, 72 nt
Filed under: Peltigera ponojensis
Lineage: Eukaryota; Fungi; Ascomycota; Lecanoromycetes; Peltigerales; Peltigeraceae
Description: partial 18S ribosomal RNA
Rfam family: Eukaryotic small subunit ribosomal RNA (bases 1-41)
Source: RNAcentral
GUAACAAGGUUUCCGUAGGUGAACCUGCGGAAGGAUCAUUAAUGAGGGCGUGUGGGCUAACAUCCCCACGAA